UACGAAGGGGGCUAGCGUUGCUCGGAAUCACUGGGCGUAAAGGGCGCGUAGGCGGCCAUUCAAGUCGGAGGUGAAAGCCCAGGGCUCAACCCUGGAAUUGCCUUCGAUACUGUUUGGCUAGAGACCGGAAGAGGUCGGCGGAACUGCGAGUGUAGAGGUGAAAUUCGUAGAUAUUCGCAAGAACACCAGUGGCGAAGGCGGCCGACUGGUCCGGUUCUGACGCUGAGGCGCGAAAGCGUGGGGAGCAAACAGG
Molecule: ribosomal RNA, 253 nt
Filed under: uncultured bacterium
Lineage: Bacteria
Description: partial 16S ribosomal RNA
Rfam family: Bacterial small subunit ribosomal RNA
Source: RNAcentral